Molecule: ribosomal RNA, 301 nt
Filed under: uncultured bacterium
Lineage: Bacteria
Description: partial 16S ribosomal RNA
Rfam family: Bacterial small subunit ribosomal RNA
Source: RNAcentral
CAGUCGCCGCGGUAAUACGAAGGGUGCAAGCGUUAAUCGGAAUUACUGGGCGUAAAGCGUGCGUAGGCGGCUUUGUAAGUAAGAGGUGAAAGCCCGGAGCUCAACUCCGGAACUGCCUUUUAGACUGCAUCGCUUGAAUCCAGGAGAGGUGAGUGGAAUUCCGAGUGUAGAGGUGAAAUUCGUAGAUAUUCGGAAGAACACCAGUGGCGAAGGCGGCUCACUGGACGACUGUUGACGCUGAGGUGCGAAAGCGUGGGGAGCAAACAGGAUUAGAUACCCCAGUAGUCCAUGUCUCUUAUAA